GGCUAAGUAGCUCAAGGGUAGAGCACUGGUCUCAUAAGCCGGUUGUUGGUGGUUCGAAUCCACCCUUAGCCA
Molecule: transfer RNA, 72 nt
Filed under: Vulgatibacter incomptus
Lineage: Bacteria; Pseudomonadati; Myxococcota; Myxococcia; Myxococcales; Vulgatibacteraceae
Rfam family: tRNA
About the family: Transfer RNA (tRNA) molecules are approximately 80 nucleotides in length. Their secondary structure includes four short double-helical elements and three loops (D, anti-codon, and T loops). Further hydrogen bonds mediate the characteristic L-shaped molecular structure. tRNAs have two regions of fundamental functional importance: the anti-codon, which is responsible for specific mRNA codon recognition, and the 3' end, to which the tRNAs corresponding amino acid is attached (by aminoacyl-tRNA synthetases). tRNAs cope with the degeneracy of the genetic code in two manners: having more than one tRNA (with a specific anti-codon) for a particular amino acid; and 'wobble' base-pairing, i.e. permitting non-standard base-pairing at the 3rd anti-codon position.
Source: Rfam by way of RNAcentral